This 279-nucleotide ribosomal RNA is filed under the name uncultured bacterium. Its description in RNAcentral is "partial 16S ribosomal RNA". It matches the Rfam family "Bacterial small subunit ribosomal RNA", at positions 506 to 784 of the family's 1533-position model. The record is from RNAcentral.
UGCCAGCAGCCGCGGUAAUACGGAGGGUCCAAGCGUUGUCCGGAUUUAUUGGGUUUAAAGGGUACGUAGGCGGGAUAUUAAGUCAGUGGUGAAAGCCUCCAGCUCAACUGGAGAACUGCCAUUGAAACUGAUAUUCUUGAGUUUGGUUGAGGUGGUUGGAAUAUAACAUGUAGCGGUGAAAUGCUUAGAUAUGUUAUAGAACACCAAUUGCGAAGGCAGAUCACUAAACCAAUACUGACGCUGAGGUACGAAAGCGUGGGGAGCGAACAGGAUUAGAUA